This 484-nucleotide ribosomal RNA is filed under the name uncultured bacterium. RNAcentral's name for it is "partial 16S ribosomal RNA". It matches the Rfam family "Bacterial small subunit ribosomal RNA", at positions 30 to 507 of the family's 1533-position model. The record is from RNAcentral.
AUUGAACGCUGGCGGCAGGCCUAACACAUGCCAGUCGAGCGGAUGAAGGGAGCUUGCUCCUGGAUUCAGCGGCGGACGGGUGAGUAAUGCCUAGGAAUCUGCCUGGUAGUGGGGGAUAACGUCCGGAAACGGGCGCUAAUACCGCAUACGUCCUGAGGGAGAAAGUGGGGGAUCUUCGGACCUCACGCUAUCAGAUGAGCCUAGGUCGGAUUAGCUAGUUGGUGGGGUAAAGGCCUACCAAGGCGACGAUCCGUAACUGGUCUGAGAGGAUGAUCAGUCACACUGGAACUGAGACACGGUCCAGACUCCUACUGGAGGCAGCAGUGGGGAAUAUUGGACAAUGGGCGAAAGCCUGAUCCAGCCAUGCCGCGUGUGUGAAGAAGGUCUUCGGAUUGUAAAGCACUUUAAGUUGGGAGGAAGGGCAGUAAGUUAAUACCUUGCUGUUUUGACGUUACCAACAGAAUAAGCACCGGCUAACUUCGUG